RNAcentral lists this ribosomal RNA (467 nucleotides) under uncultured bacterium. RNAcentral describes it as "partial 16S ribosomal RNA". It matches the Rfam family "Bacterial small subunit ribosomal RNA", at positions 28 to 506 of the family's 1533-position model. The record is from RNAcentral.
GAUGAACGCUGGCGGCGUGCUUAACACAUGCAAGUCGAACGGAAAGGCCGAAGCUUGCUUCGGUACUCGAGUGGCGAACGGGUGAGUAACACGUGGGUGAUCUGCCCUGUACUUCGGGAUAAGCUUGGGAAACUGGGUCUAAUACCGGAUAUGACGAUCUCUUGGAUGGGGUUGUGGAAAGCUUUUGCGGUAUGGGAUGAGCUCGCGGCCUAUCAGCUUGUUGGUGGGGUAAUGGCCUACCAAGGCGUCGACGGGUAGCCGGCCUGAGAGGGUGUACGGCCACAUUGGUACUGAGAUACGGCCCAGACUCCUACGGGAGGCAGCAGUGGGGAAUAUUGCACAAUGGGCGCAAGCCUGAUGCAGCGACGCCGCGUGGGGGAUGACGGCCUUCGGGUUGUAAACUCCGUUCGCAAUCGACGAAGCCUUUUGGUGACGGUAGGUUGAGAAGAAGCACCGGCUAACUACGU